Molecule: long non-coding RNA, 905 nt
Filed under: Homo sapiens (human)
Lineage: Eukaryota; Metazoa; Chordata; Mammalia; Primates; Hominidae
Description: HSALNT0213628
Source: RNAcentral
GAAAACGCAUCAUUCCAACACUUUUUAAAGAGAAGCAGUCAUUUGACUUCCACAUACCACACAGUGACCUCAGUUUUGAUCCCUGGUAGGGAGCAGCAGGAUUCACAUUGCCUGAAGCUUCUAUUGUGCUGACUCUCCUAUAGCCAUCUGACCAGAAGGUUUGCCAAAUCCCAGCCUAGGAGAUUGUUAACAUUCCACUUGGCUUUGCUGCUUGCACCAGGGGAUGGUGUCUCGAAAGCCCUCUACACUCAUCUGGAGGAUUUGGAAUUGUGAUUUGGAAACAGAGACUCAAUUAUCUGAUUUAAAUAGUACCACUUUCAAGUCUCCAGCCUGAGCCUUCUACCUCUGAAAGCCUUUUUUCACCACAUACCAAUGUAAUUACACAAUAAACUGUAUCAAUAAACUACACCAAUGGGGCAAACAGUUGUCUGUACUUAGUUCUUUUCACAUCUUUUUAUCAGACUAAAGCAGAAUGAAAACAAAGUCACAGCCCCCAAAUUUGGCAUGUUUUCAAAAGCUUGUCUGGCCAUCUCACCAUAUCAACAACUUUAAGCAUUUUACUUGUAGUUUUCAUCCACAAUCCUACCAGUAAUUCUCAGUGCUCCAAUACAAAGGAGAAGAAUAUUUUAAUACAUAAAUAUAUAAUUUCUUAUAUAUGGUUAGAAAGUCACAGUGGCUUUAAUCUUUAAAUAAACAAAAAACAAAACUUCACUAUGACAAUAUUUGAUAGGAUAGACUAAAAAUUUGAUUUAAAAUUAUUUGUAUUGCUUUUGUUAUUCUGAAUUUAUGAUGUCACUAUGUUAGAUGAUUCUAACUUUAUAGGUGAAGAAAGCAUAAAAGAUACAAAGUACCUGGCAUAUGAUUACUUUGCUAUGAAGAAAAAAAUAUGAAAAUAUCUAUUCUUG